Molecule: small RNA, 52 nt
Filed under: Arabidopsis thaliana (thale cress)
Lineage: Eukaryota; Viridiplantae; Streptophyta; Magnoliopsida; Brassicales; Brassicaceae
Description: ATSL109100
Source: RNAcentral
UGUACCUUCUCUGUUUCAUCGUACGCUGUUUCUUCUUCUUCUUCCUCGUUGA